Molecule: ribosomal RNA, 2262 nt
Filed under: Triticum aestivum (bread wheat)
Lineage: Eukaryota; Viridiplantae; Streptophyta; Magnoliopsida; Poales; Poaceae
Description: partial small subunit ribosomal RNA
Source: RNAcentral
AUGAGGAUGAAAAAUAAUCGGUCUUCCUUCGUACCGGCCCGCCCAGCUAAACUCUCCUUCGUUCCUCUGCAGAAACGAGCGAGACCGAGAAGCUGUAGGAUGAGGUUUCAUGCUGCCAGAGCAAGCUGCGCAAGGAGAUCGACUCCAUCGGCGACGACCUCAACGUACGCACUCCAGUCCGCUCCUCUGCUCCACGCCCUCCGCUCCAGCCCUCCCUCCAGCCGCCGGCCACUCCGGCCGCGCGUCCACCUCCCCCCGCCGCUGACCACCCCGGUUGCGGUGUCCACCCCCCUCGCUGGACCUCCGACCCCAGGUGCGAUGGCGGACGGCUCCUCCAGCCCGCCUUCGGUCUCCUUGGCGUUUCCUAGGCCGAGCCGGUGGUUUCCGGCCUGGGCCUCUCGGGAUCCCCUGGAUCCAGCCGUGCUGCUGCUUCGGGACGACCACAAGAAGCAGGACUACACCAACCGUCCCAUGUGCUUCCGCUGCGGCUUUGAAGGCCAUGAAUCAUUCCAAUGCAAGCAUCCUCGGAGCCCAGGUUCGGAGCGAGAGCUGAUCCGAGCGGUCCUGGCCAAGAUGGGCCGCCUGGCUCCGUCUGCUGUGGUGGCUGGUGCUGAGAGACAGACCUCACCGGCGCCUAGGCAGGAAGUACCCUUGGUACCUCCCUCGCCGGCGGUGGCUGAACCUUUGUCCUCAGCAUGGCCACCGACCCAGCUCUCUUCUGGGGGAUGUGUGCUCUGCCGCUCCCCGGAGAUGGACGACAUGGAGCGCCGACUUUGUCUGGCGGUGGUGGUCUACAUUGGUGGUGUGAGGCCGUCGAUCUCCUGUGUGGAGGCGGCAGAAGCCAUUUCGGCGCAGUUGGAGAUUCCACGUCAUCGCUUCUUUGUUCAUCGUUUCCAACCGGAGGAUUUCCUUAUCGUCUUUGCCACUCCAGAGCUUCGCAACAUUGCCCUCCAUUCCAUCCCUGUUGAGAAUGGAAGCUUCAAGCUUUUCUUUAAGCCAUGGCUGCGGCAGGCGCAAGCUACCGCUAAGGCAAUGAGGGUGCAGGUGGAUCUUAUGAUUGAGGGAAUCCCUUCACAUGCGUGGUCUCAAGAUACGGCUGCUGAGAUCCUUGGGACUGCUUGCAAAAUUGACAGCUUGGCGCCUGAAACAGCGGACAGAUCAGAUUUUUCGAUGUUCAAGGUUCGUUCUUGGUGUGUGUGCAGCCAGAGGAUAUCCCGAUGGACAAGAGGCUGUGGAUCCCUGAGCUGGAAUUGGAAGAUGCACGGCAGCGGCGUGCAUCGUCUCGCCAAUUCCUGGAGUACUCAACGCUCAUUCACAUUGGCAAGCUCUGGGAUUUCAAUGGCCCGGAGAACUGGCGCCAUCCGGCGAGUUCUGGCAGUAGCGGUGCUGCCAUGGAUGCGCGGCAAGAGAGAUGACUGUGGUGGAGCGGCUGGGGCUGCCGGCAUUGGAGCAACUGGCAGGUCCUUCAGGAAAGUUUUGAUGGGCAGAUUGGGUGAGUCCAACUGGCGAUUGCCUACUAUUGGAUCCAGCAACAGGCAGGUGGCAGGAGCGCCGGCUAGCAGGAUUAGCACCUCUGGUGAGCUCCUGGCAUCGAGGCAGGCGGUGGUGGUGCCAGCGUCCCAGGCUGGCACACCGGAUCCUUGUGGUCGUCCUGUGGCUGCCGAGGCACAACACACAGCGGCGCCCCUGCAGCUCCUGGUUGCAGCAGAUCCUGUGCCAGUGACAGCUGUCCCGCUGGCACGGGUGACGCUACCGGUAUGCGCGGGCCCCGAGGUGGAUGUGGUGGUUGCACCGGCAGUGUUGGAGUUUCCCUCUAUCCACCUGCCAUUGGCUAAUCAGAAUGCGGCCGUGCCAUCUGUGGCAGCCGACAAAGGUGGGGUUGUUCUGGAAGGAGACAUAGACAGUGGCCCAUCGACAAGAUGGUGGGUGCAAAUCAGCUGGAUGCCUCUUUCGAGGAGACAUGGGUGGCCUCGCUUGGUCACAUGUCACAGGAGGGUGGUGUGGGUGAUGCCAGUAAUCAGGAUGCUGCUGUCCUCUGUUCCCCUGCUGCGGGCUGGGCCCUGGUGGAGGAGAUCUUGUCGGCCACCUCCCCAUUGGUGCCAGCUGGUGGGCCCUAGGAGAUUCCCCGAAGCUGGAUGUGACCCAGCCAUGCAACCUAUCGCUGGCGGGCGGGCCGGAUGUGACGCGCACAUGCAACGUGCUAGCUAUUACCACCCCGCCUUCCAUGGCUCAGUUGGACGUGCUGCCUGGUGCGGAUGGUAG